Molecule: ribosomal RNA, 253 nt
Filed under: uncultured bacterium
Lineage: Bacteria
Description: partial 16S ribosomal RNA
Rfam family: Bacterial small subunit ribosomal RNA
Source: RNAcentral
UACGGAGGAUCCAAGCGUUAUCCGGAUUUAUUGGGUUUAAAGGGUGCGUAGGCGGCCUAUUAAGUCAGGGGUGAAAGACGGUAGCUUAACUAUCGCAGUGCCUUUGAUACUGAUGGGCUUGAAUACACUAGAGGUAGGCGGAAUGUGACAAGUAGCGGUGAAAUGCAUAGAUAUGUCACAGAACACCAAUUGCGAAGGCAGCUUACUAUGGUGUGAUUGACGCUGAGGCACGAAAGCGUGGGGAGCGAACAGG